AACGAACGCUGGCGGCAGGCCUAACACAUGCAAGUCGAACGCCCCGCAAGGGGAGUGGCAGACGGGUGAGUAACGCGUGGGAACCUUCCCUGUGGUGCGGAAUAACUCGCCGAAAGGCGAGCUAAUACCGCAUAAGCCCGAAAGGGGAAAGAUUUAUCGCCAUAGGAUGGGCCCGCGUAGGAUUAGCUAGUUGGUGAGGUAAUGGCUCACCAAGGCUGCGAUCCUUAGCUGGUUUGAGAGAAUGACCAGCCACACUGGGACUGAGACACGGCCCAGACUCCUACGGGAGGCAGCAGUGGGGAAUCUUGGACAAUGGGCGCAAGCCUGAUCCAGCCAUGCCGCGUGAGUGACGAAGGCCUU
Molecule: ribosomal RNA, 360 nt
Filed under: uncultured bacterium
Lineage: Bacteria
Description: bacterial SSU rRNA
Rfam family: Bacterial small subunit ribosomal RNA
Source: RNAcentral